CCUGAACCCAGGAAAGCAUGGAGAUAAGAUAUUACAAGCAUUCAUAAAUAAAAUGAUAAAAUGUAACUGGUUUGAGCGCAAGAUUGUGUCAUCAUGCCACAUCUGUCAUUUGGAGUGUGAGAGGAAUGUACCAUAUUAUGACAUAGCGGUUGAGACUAGCAAGAAAUAAUUCCUACAGAACACCACUGCAUCAAAGU
Centrocercus urophasianus (Greater sage-grouse) is the source of this 197-nucleotide long non-coding RNA. RefSeq lists it as uncharacterized. The record is from RefSeq and is a predicted model, not a curated record. The transcript has 3 exons. Lineage: Eukaryota; Metazoa; Chordata; Aves; Galliformes; Phasianidae.